This 418-nucleotide ribosomal RNA is filed under the name uncultured bacterium. Its description in RNAcentral is "bacterial SSU rRNA". It matches the Rfam family "Bacterial small subunit ribosomal RNA", at positions 356 to 774 of the family's 1533-position model. The record is from RNAcentral.
GGGGAAUAUUGCGCAAUGGCCGAAAGGCUGACGCAGCGACGCCGCGUGGGGGAUGAAGCAUUUCGGUGUGUAAACCCCUGUUGCCCGGGACGAACAAGCAGAUUUUUCUGCUCUGACGGUACCGGGUGAGGAAGCACCGGCUAACUCCGUGCCAGCAGCCGCGGUAAUACGGAGGGUGCGAGCGUUGUCCGGAAUCACUGGGCGUAAAGGGCGCGUAGGCGGUCUGCUAAGCGUGCGGUGAAAGCCCGGGGCUCAACCCCGGGUCUGCCGUGCGAACUGGUGGACUAGAGCACUGUAGAGGCAGGUGGAAGUCCGGGUGUAGCGGUGGAAUGCGUAGAGAUCCGGAAGAACACCGGUGGCGAAGGCGGCCUGCUGGGCAGUAGCUGACGCUGAGGCGCGACAGCGUGGGGAGCAAACA